Molecule: non-coding RNA, 74 nt
Organism: Potamilus streckersoni
Lineage: Eukaryota; Metazoa; Mollusca; Bivalvia; Unionida; Unionidae
Source: the annotation of a GenBank genome assembly
CGCUCCAUUAGACUAGUGGUUAGAGCGUCCGCCUCAGAUGCAGGAGGUCGCGGGUUCGAACCACGGUAGAGUCA